CAGCAGGCGCGAAAACUUUACAAUGCCGGCAACGGCGAUAAGGGGACCUCGAGUGCCAGGUUACAAAUCUGGCUGUCGUGAUGCCUAAAAAGCAUUGCAUAGCAAGGGCCGGGCAAGACCGGUGCCAGCCGCCGCGGUAACACCGGCGGCUCGAGUGGUAACCGUUAUUAUUGGGUCUAAAGGGUCUGUAGCCGGCCGGAUAAGUCUCUUGGGAAAUCUGGCAGCUUAACUGUCAGGCUUUCAGGAGAUACUGUCUGGCUCGAGGCCGGGAGAGGUGAGAGGUACUUCAGGGGUAGGGGUGAAAUCUUGUAAUCCUUGAAGGACCACCAGUGGCGAAGGCGUCUCACCAGAACGGACCUGACGGCAAGGGACGAAAGCUAGGGGCACGAACCGGAUUAGAUACCCGGGUAGUCCUAGCCGUAAACGAUACUCGCUAGGUGUCGGCCACGGUGCGACCGUGGUCGGUGCCGUAGGGAAGCCGUGAAGCGAGCCACCUGGGAAGUACGGCCGCAAGGCUGAAACUUAAAGGAAUUGGCGGGGGAGCAC
RNAcentral lists this ribosomal RNA (546 nucleotides) under uncultured archaeon. Its description in RNAcentral is "bacterial SSU rRNA". It matches the Rfam family "Archaeal small subunit ribosomal RNA", at positions 333 to 879 of the family's 1478-position model. The record is from RNAcentral.